Molecule: transfer RNA, 85 nt
Filed under: Felis catus (domestic cat)
Lineage: Eukaryota; Metazoa; Chordata; Mammalia; Carnivora; Felidae
Rfam family: tRNA
About the family: Transfer RNA (tRNA) molecules are approximately 80 nucleotides in length. Their secondary structure includes four short double-helical elements and three loops (D, anti-codon, and T loops). Further hydrogen bonds mediate the characteristic L-shaped molecular structure. tRNAs have two regions of fundamental functional importance: the anti-codon, which is responsible for specific mRNA codon recognition, and the 3' end, to which the tRNAs corresponding amino acid is attached (by aminoacyl-tRNA synthetases). tRNAs cope with the degeneracy of the genetic code in two manners: having more than one tRNA (with a specific anti-codon) for a particular amino acid; and 'wobble' base-pairing, i.e. permitting non-standard base-pairing at the 3rd anti-codon position.
Source: Rfam by way of RNAcentral
GCCUGGGUGGCUCAGUCGGUUGAGCGUCCGACUUCGGCUCAGGUCACGAUCUCGCGGUUUGUGGGUUCGAGCCCCGCAUCGGGCU